AGGUUCCUCUCCCCGCCCCUUUCCUCGGUCUUGCGAGUUACCUCUCAGCGGAGCAGCCGCAGCGUCGCUGCCAGCGAGCAAGAGGAUCACGUUCCCACUCGAUUUGAAUUUCCUUGUUUUAACCGUGCAGGAAAAGCGGGUGAUUUCAGUGCAGCCAAAGCCCUUUAAACGCAGCAUCUCUCCCACCCGCCCCAUCAAAAAAAAAAAAAAAAAAAAAAAAAAAAAGUGCCAGGGUCAAGAGCUGCUGCUCUCCUUUAUGAUUUUGUUGGUGCAUUUAUUAGUUUAGUAUUGGGUUUUUCCACUAGCUCAAUUUGAAAGCUUACCAUCGAGGAUAUUCACUUCUUUAUAAUGGGUGGGAGGGGUGCACAUAAUUGGGAGAAACACACAGGAGGGGGAAGAAAUCAGUGUUUUCUAAGGAUCGAGUGUCUGCAAGAAGAAAUUUCGGUUUCCCUCCAACCGCCCCCAUCUCGACUCUCCUCUCGCCCACCCAAACGCUGUAGUUACUAAGCAAAAGGAAGGGCUUCUUUAACUUUGAUUUCUAAGGACUUUGAGACUCCGCGUCUGAGGCUCCGUUUUGGGCUCCCGGCUGGCCCGGAGUCAGCACCAGUGACGUACACACCUAAAUCUGGUCCCCCGGCCCUCGGCGACCCGCAGCCCGGUGGUGGCAGCUGUGCAGCCUCCCGCCUCACCCUUGCCUCGCACCCGCCAAAGUCGGAGGGCGGGGGGGGGGGGUCAACCUGUCUGUGCCCAAAGGCCCCUCCUCUCUUUACAGUAAUUAAGCUUCGGGAUUCCAGACCCCGAACCCAGGAAGACUCGAAUUCGCCGCCGCUCCAGAGACAUGUCUAGCAAGAAGUUGCUGUAGCUGAGGUCGAAGAGGUUACUGCCUGUGUUCUCUAUAGCCAAACUGUGGAAAGAGCUGAGAUGCCCACUGACAGAUGAAUUGAUAAAGAAGAUGUGGGCAGCAGGAGUGGCAGAGAUGGGAAGAAAAGCCUUUUUAACGUAUGGCACAAGAUAGAUUGGAUAUCCAAAUGGAAAAAAAGCUGUGUGGAGAUCCAUGAGAUCCAGGAAGCAGGAGUGGAAAGGGGAAUCAAUCGGAAGUCCAGUGUUCUCCAAGGUUUACUGGCAGAUAAGGGGUAUGCGUGUGUGUACAUAUAUACAUAUGUAUAUAUGAAUAUACAUAUAUAUUCAGACUCUAGCAUAGAAUGAGGUUUUCUGACCUGUCUUAUAAGCAUGUAUUAAGCACUUAUUAGGUGUUAAAGAGUUGUCUAAAUGAUA
Mirounga angustirostris (Northern elephant seal) is the source of this 1275-nucleotide long non-coding RNA. RefSeq lists it as uncharacterized. The record is from RefSeq and is a predicted model, not a curated record. Lineage: Eukaryota; Metazoa; Chordata; Mammalia; Carnivora; Phocidae. The transcript is spliced from 4 exons.